UACGUAGGGAGCAAGCGUUGUCCGGAAUCAUUGGGCGUAAAGCGCGCGUAGGUGGCUUCAUAAGUCCGUUGUGAAAGUCAAAGGCUCAACCUUUGAAAGCCGAUGGAUACUGUGGAGCUAGAGUACGGAAGAGGCGAGUGGAAUUCCUGGUGUAGCGGUGGAAUGCGCAGAUAUCAGGAGGAACACCAAUAGCGAAGGCAGCUCGCUGGGACGUUACUGACACUGAGGCGCGAAAGCGUGGGGAGCGAACAAG
Molecule: ribosomal RNA, 253 nt
Filed under: uncultured bacterium
Lineage: Bacteria
Description: partial 16S ribosomal RNA
Rfam family: Bacterial small subunit ribosomal RNA
Source: RNAcentral